GAUGAACGCUGGCGGCGUGCCUAAUACAUGCAAGUCAAGCGAACAGACGAGGAGCUUGCUCCUCUGACGUUAGCGGCGGACGGGUGAGUAACACGUGGAUAACCUACCUAUAAGACUGGGAUAACUUCGGGAAACCGGAGCUAAUACCGGAUAAUAUAUUGAACCGCAUGGUUCAAUAGUGAAAGACGGUUUUGCUGUUACUUAUAGAUGGAUCCGCGCCGCAUUAGCUAGUUGGUAAGGUAACGGCUUACCAAGGCAACGAUGCGUAGCCGACCUGAGAGGGUGAUCGGCCACACUGGAACUGAGACACGGUCCAGACUCCUACGGGAGGCAGCAGUAGGGAAUCUUCCGCAAUGGGCGAAAGCUUGACGGAGCAACGCCGCGUGAGUGAUGAAGGUCUUCGGAUCGUAAAACUCUGUUAUUAGGGAAGAACAAAUGUGUAAGUAACUAUGCACGUCUUGACGGUACCUAAUCAGAAAGCCACGGCUAACUACGUG
Molecule: ribosomal RNA, 497 nt
Filed under: uncultured bacterium
Lineage: Bacteria
Description: partial 16S ribosomal RNA
Rfam family: Bacterial small subunit ribosomal RNA
Source: RNAcentral